Molecule: ribosomal RNA, 254 nt
Filed under: uncultured bacterium
Lineage: Bacteria
Description: partial 16S ribosomal RNA
Rfam family: Bacterial small subunit ribosomal RNA
Source: RNAcentral
GACGUAGGGGGCGAGCGUUGUCCGGAUUUAUUGGGCGUAAAGAGCUCGUAGGCGGCUCAGCAAGUCAGGUGUGAAACCUCCAGGCUUAACCUGGAGACGCCACCUGAUACUGCUGUGGCUGGAGUCCGGUAGGGGAGCAGGGAAUAUCCGGUGUAGCGGUGAAAUGCUUAGAUAUCGUCAAGAACACCUAUAGCGAAGGCAGCUUACUAGGCUGUAACUGACGCUGAGGCACGAAAGUGUGGGGAUCAAACAGG